UAUAUUGGAAGACAAAUGAAUCUGCUUCAUCCUCAAAUGCUGGUUCUAGAGAAGAGAUCUCAGUUGAAAUGCUGCUCUGUCUGAUGUGGAGAAAUUUGAUCCAAAUUUCUCCCAAGGAUCUGGUUGUCUCAACAAGAGCAAAACCCGAAGGAACACUGCUUUGCUUUAUUUUUGAGGAUUCUAGUUUGACUGGUCAAAGGAACAUGAGAUCGGUUGCCUAUGUGAUGUUUUCCACCCAUCAGGAAUGGGAGAAGCUAUCACAUAGUUGAUCUUUGCUACUCAGACCCUGCAGCCAAAUUGUUGACUGAGCUUUUCAGCCCCUAUCCAGAUCUCGAGGGCUUGUGGAGACAGUGCUGUUUCUCUCUGCCUCAAUCCUACUGCUGUUGACCACUGUUUUGAGGAGUGGAAAGAAGUUGUCAGGAGGCAAGAGGGCAAGGACAAUUCUCCAGCAUCUUUUCUUUUGGUCUAAGAAGAGGAAGAGAAGAGGAAUGGAUACUGCUUAGCUACAUCAGGGCAAGGUGCAAAGGAGAUUCAGAGGCUCAGGCCAUGUGGACUCUGUUGUCAUCUUUGCUGAAAAUCUGCCAG
Chiroxiphia lanceolata (lance-tailed manakin) is the source of this 585-nucleotide long non-coding RNA. RefSeq lists it as uncharacterized. The record is from RefSeq and is a predicted model, not a curated record. The transcript has 3 exons. NCBI's taxonomy places the organism in Eukaryota, Metazoa, Chordata, Aves, Passeriformes, Pipridae.